This 305-nucleotide ribosomal RNA is filed under the name uncultured bacterium. Its description in RNAcentral is "bacterial SSU rRNA". It matches the Rfam family "Bacterial small subunit ribosomal RNA", at positions 337 to 659 of the family's 1533-position model. The record is from RNAcentral.
ACCUACGGGAGGCAGCAGUGGGGAAUAUUGCACAAUGGGGGAAACCCUGAUGCAGCGACGCCGCGUGAGUGAAGAAGUAUUUCGGUAUGUAAAGCUCUAUCAGCAGGGAAGAAAAUGACGGUACCUGACUAAGAAGCCCCGGCUAACUACGUGCCAGCAGCCGUGGUAAUACGUAGGGGGCAAGCGUUAUCCGGAUUUACUGGGUGUAAAGGGAGCGUAGACGGCAUGGCAAGUCAGAUGUGAAAGCCCGGGGCUCAACCCCGGGACUGCAUUUGAAACUGUAAGGCUGGAGUGCAGGAGAGGUA